UUUGUGCUAUUCGACGAAAUAUAAUAGCCAGAUCAAGUACGACGACAUCAGACAUUCGUACGCGAUAACUCGUCCAGUAAGCAUCUCCAGUGCCGUGACCGUGGAAAGUAUUAGCUCAGUGAGAACCUCCUCCCGUGAAGCACUCUUCAGUACAAAUAUUUCAGCGCAAAAUGGCCAAACUAGGACUGCUGUUCAUCGUCAUCUUCUGCAUCAUCCAGCUGACUCUCGCCGCACGUACUCGUCGGGAUGCUUUUGAUGAGGCCGUAGAUACCGUUAAGAAAGGAAUCUCCGACACAUUCACCAAGGAAAAUGUUGACAACUUCCUCGGCAAGCUGACGGAACUCGGGGACACGAUCAAGGCUAAGGCUAGCGAAAUCGGACAGACCCUGCAGGACAAGGCACAGGAAGCGCUGAAGAAGGAAUGAGAGUUGUCUAGGGUACUUUAAUCAUCACCUCGAAGCUGUGCAUCCCCAGUACCAUCAUGGGAUGGAAACUUUUCCUUGAUUUUUAGAAGGAAACAAAAAUAAUAAAGUUGACAUCUAUUGACCAAAAAUAA
Armigeres subalbatus is the source of this 556-nucleotide long non-coding RNA. RefSeq lists it as uncharacterized. The transcript has 3 exons. The record is from RefSeq and is a predicted model, not a curated record. Lineage: Eukaryota; Metazoa; Arthropoda; Insecta; Diptera; Culicidae.